GGGUCAAUGAUGUCUAAGCGGUCUGGGCCUUGAAGAGAGGUGAUGACAAAAAUCCUGCUCAAUAGGAUUACGCUGAGGCCC
Small nucleolar RNA from Myotis daubentonii (Daubenton's bat), 81 nucleotides. RefSeq annotates it as small nucleolar RNA SNORD115. NCBI's taxonomy places the organism in Eukaryota, Metazoa, Chordata, Mammalia, Chiroptera, Vespertilionidae. The record is from RefSeq and is a predicted model, not a curated record.